CACCUAAGUGGUCCAGAAGCCAGCUUCCUUUGGCAACUUCCCUUCAGGGUAACACUGGUGUGAAACCCCAACCUUUUUUCAUACAAUCAAUCUGCUCCCAUAGUUGGGGAGGAGGGUUGGAGUGGCUUCUGGGUCAAUUUAGUGUAUGGUAACUGAAGAUGACUGAAGCGUUCAGAAUCUUUAACUGAGGCACUUUGAUGUAGGGAUGUAUCCUCAACCUUUCCCCCUCCAUUCACUCCCUCUGCCUGAUCUAUGUGUACUGCUGGGGCCUCAUUCACACACGUCCUCCUUGCAUUAAAGGGUACAGUAAUCCCUCCUGUCAGCUUUCUGUGCCAAAGAAAUUCAUAUUUGACAAGGCUUUUGUAGGAGUUAUAUGCUUUUCUUGGGGUAGUUUUAUGACCAUGGUGGUAGUUUGACCCUUCUUCUGUGCCUUGAACCUACCAGAACACUCACUAGAACCCAACUGACCUUUUUACAUUUUGGAAAUAGUAACAUGAGAGGCAAAAGCAUCUCUGAGAAUAACAACCAUUGCCCAAGUGUAUUUAUAUUAUCUAAAGACAUCCUCUAUUAGAACCAAAGAGGACCAGAAGACCUCAAUUUUAACAGAAUACAAAAGACUUUAUUUACUAUACUUAUAACAUUAUUUAGCCUGAGGGAGGAAAAAAUCUUGAUAACAGGCUUUAUAGGCAUCAUCUUUGCCAUCACCCCUAUAACAUUAUAUAGCCUGAGGGAGGAAAAAAUCUUGAUAACAGGCUUUAUAGGCAUCAUCUUUGCCAUCACCCCCAUCAUCAUCUUCAAGAGGCUGUGGCAGAGGAAAACAGCUGAUCUUCUGGUCGCCAGCAGAUGCUCCUCCUCACUGUGGCUCCAUUUAUUCAUCACUACAAGGCCCUUCCCUGGUUAUUAUGGCGCCAUCAACACUUAAUUAAGAUGUUCACGGGAAAAGUGUCGAGACAGCAGCGAGAUGAGUGAAAUGCUGACUCGGGACACAUGCUGGAGGCCCCUCUGGUGCAGGGUUGAGCAAGGAGGAGAAAGGGACAGUAGCAGGGUAGUGGUAAGAGAGGAAACACGACGUUAUUCACACUGCCGUUACCACCGGGGCCGACCGGAAGGAGUAACCCGACUGUACCCGCAAAUGCGUAUGUGUUAUUGAUUAUAUUAGUGUCAUACUACCCAUAUUGAUUGUACUGGUCACUUAUUAUUAAUGCCUUACUAGCCUUGUUCAUUGUACUGGUCACCAUGCUCAUUGUAUGUUUUAAUGUAGUUUAUCCAAUAUCUCGUCUGACGUGCACUUAUAUGACCAUGGCCUUUAUCUUGUUAAUGACGGUUAGUAGUGUUUGCUUGCUCUGCCGUGAUAAUAAUAAUAAAGAGAUUGUGCGUCGUUGUUUCCGUAUUGUAACGCAUAUGACGCCCAUCUUUCAGGUUUGACCACUAUCAAUAAAUGAUGUGAGUUCGA
Long non-coding RNA from Eriocheir sinensis (Chinese mitten crab), 1453 nucleotides. RefSeq lists it as uncharacterized. The record is from RefSeq and is a predicted model, not a curated record. The transcript has 2 exons. NCBI's taxonomy places the organism in Eukaryota, Metazoa, Arthropoda, Malacostraca, Decapoda, Varunidae.